Molecule: ribosomal RNA, 470 nt
Filed under: uncultured bacterium
Lineage: Bacteria
Description: bacterial SSU rRNA
Rfam family: Bacterial small subunit ribosomal RNA
Source: RNAcentral
GACGAACGCUGGCGGCGUGCCUAACACAUGCAAGUCAACUUGACGGAAGGAGCAAUCUGACCGUAGAGUGGCGCAAGGGUGCGUAACGCGUAAGUAACUUGCCCAAGGUAAGGAAUAACGUCGAGAAAUCGGCGCUAAUACCUCAUAAUGCAGCGGAUCCGCAUGGAUAUGUUGUUAAAGGUUUACCGCCUUGGGAUAGGCUUGCGUCUGAUUAGCUAGUUGGUGUGGUAACGGCACACCAAGGCUACGAUCAGUAACUGGUCUGAGAGGAUGAUCAGUCACACUGGAACUGAGACACGGUCCAGACUCCUACGGGAGGCAGCAGUGAGGAAUAUUGGGCAAUGCUCGAAAGAGUGACCCAGCAACGCCGCGUGGAGGAUGAAGGUAUUCUAUAUCGUAAACUCCUGUGAGAGCAGACGAAAGACAGAUUAUUAAUCUGGAUGACUGUAUGCUCAGAGGAAGCCCCGGUC